UGGGGAAUAUUGCACAAUGGGCGAAAGCCUGAUGCAGCAACGCCGCGUGAGUGAUGAAGGUCUUCGGAUUGUAAAGCUCUGUCUUUUGGGACGAUAAUGACGGUACCAAAGGAGGAAGCCACGGCUAACUACGUGCCAGCAGCCGCGGUAAUACGUAGGUGGCGAGCGUUGUCCGGAUUUACUGGGCGUAAAGGGUGCGUAGGCGGAUGUUUAAGUGAGAUGUGAAAUACCCGGGCUUAACUUGGGUGCUGCAUUUCAAACUGGAUAUCUAGAGUGCAGGAGAGGAGAAUGGAAUUCCUAGUGU
Molecule: ribosomal RNA, 304 nt
Filed under: uncultured bacterium
Lineage: Bacteria
Description: partial 16S ribosomal RNA
Rfam family: Bacterial small subunit ribosomal RNA
Source: RNAcentral